GGCCCGUUGGUCAAGUGGUUAAGACACCGCCCUUUCACGGCGGUAACACGGGUUCGAAUCCCGUACGGAUCACCA
RNAcentral lists this transfer RNA (75 nucleotides) under Bacillus thuringiensis. RNAcentral describes it as "tRNA-Glu". It matches the Rfam family "tRNA". From Rfam's summary of the family: Transfer RNA (tRNA) molecules are approximately 80 nucleotides in length. Their secondary structure includes four short double-helical elements and three loops (D, anti-codon, and T loops). Further hydrogen bonds mediate the characteristic L-shaped molecular structure. tRNAs have two regions of fundamental functional importance: the anti-codon, which is responsible for specific mRNA codon recognition, and the 3' end, to which the tRNAs corresponding amino acid is attached (by aminoacyl-tRNA synthetases). tRNAs cope with the degeneracy of the genetic code in two manners: having more than one tRNA (with a specific anti-codon) for a particular amino acid; and 'wobble' base-pairing, i.e. permitting non-standard base-pairing at the 3rd anti-codon position. Lineage: Bacteria; Bacillati; Bacillota; Bacilli; Caryophanales; Bacillaceae. The record is from RNAcentral.